UACGGGGGGGGCAAGCGUUGUUCGGAAUUACUGGGCGUAAAGGGCUCGUAGGUGGCCAACUAAGUCAGACGUGAAAUCCCUCGGCUUAACCGGGGAACUGCAUCUGAUACUGGAUGGCUUGAGUUUGGGAGAGGGAUGCGGAAUUCCAGGUGUAGCGGUGAAAUGCGUAGAUAUCGAGAGGAACACCUGCGGCGAAGGCGGGUUGCUGGGCUGAUACUGACGCUGAGGCGCGAAAGCCAGGGGAGCGAACGGG
Molecule: ribosomal RNA, 253 nt
Filed under: uncultured bacterium
Lineage: Bacteria
Description: partial 16S ribosomal RNA
Rfam family: Bacterial small subunit ribosomal RNA
Source: RNAcentral